This 77-nucleotide transfer RNA is filed under the name Methanobrevibacter sp. RNAcentral describes it as "tRNA-Gln". It matches the Rfam family "tRNA". Rfam says of the family: Transfer RNA (tRNA) molecules are approximately 80 nucleotides in length. Their secondary structure includes four short double-helical elements and three loops (D, anti-codon, and T loops). Lineage: Archaea; Methanobacteriati; Methanobacteriota; Methanobacteria; Methanobacteriales; Methanobacteriaceae. The record is from RNAcentral.
AGGGGUGUAGCCAAGCGGCUAAAGGCAAUAGGCUUUGACCCUAUCAUACGGUAGUUCGAAUCUACCCACCCCUGCCA